Molecule: microRNA, 22 nt
Filed under: Cordylochernes scorpioides
Lineage: Eukaryota; Metazoa; Arthropoda; Arachnida; Pseudoscorpiones; Chernetidae
Source: RNAcentral
AUUACAGAUGUUUGCUCGCUCA